Molecule: ribosomal RNA, 253 nt
Filed under: uncultured bacterium
Lineage: Bacteria
Description: partial 16S ribosomal RNA
Rfam family: Bacterial small subunit ribosomal RNA
Source: RNAcentral
UACGUAAGGGGCAAGCGUUGUCCGGAAUCAUUGGGCGUAAAGCGCGUGUAGGCGGCCAGAAAAGUCCGCUGUGAAAACUCGAGGCUCAACUUCGAGCUGUCGGUGGAAACUUUCUGGCUAGAGUCCGGAAGAGGAGAAUGGAAUUCCUGGUGUAGCGGUGAAAUGCGCAGAUAUCAGGAAGAACACCCGUGGCGAAGGCGGUUCUCUGGGACGGUACUGACGCUGAGACGCGAAAGCGUGGGGAGCGAACAGG